This 1479-nucleotide ribosomal RNA is filed under the name metagenome. RNAcentral describes it as "bacterial LSU rRNA". It matches the Rfam family "Bacterial large subunit ribosomal RNA", at positions 1469 to 2925 of the family's 2925-position model. The record is from RNAcentral.
GGGACGGAGAAGGCUAGGCCAGCUUGGCGUUGGUUGUCCAAGUUUAAGGUGGUAGGCUGAAAUCUUAGGUAAAUCCGGGGUUUCAAGGCCGAGAGCUGAUGACGAGUCGUCUUUUAGAUGACGAAGUGGUUGAUGCCAUGCUUCCAAGAAAAGCUUCUAAGCUUCAGGUAACCAGGAACCGUACCCCAAACCGACACAGGUGGUCGGGUAGAGAAUACCAAGGCGCUUGAGAGAACUCGGGUGAAGGAACUAGGCAAAAUGGCACCGUAACUUCGGGAGAAGGUGCGCCGGCUAGGGUGAAGGAUUUACUCCGUAAGCUCUGGCUGGUCGAAGAUACCAGGCCGCCGCGACUGUUUAUUAAAAACACAGCACUCUGCAAACACGAAAGUGGACGUAUAGGGUGUGACGCCUGCCCGGUGCCGGAAGGUUAAUUGAUGGGGUUAGCGCAAGCGAAGCUCUUGAUCGAAGCCCCGGUAAACGGCGGCCGUAACAAUAACGGUCCUAAGGUAGCGAAAUUCCUUGUCGGGUAAGUUCCGACCUGCACGAAUGGCGUAACGAUGGCGGCGCUGUCUCCACCCGAGACUCAGUGAAAUUGAAAUCGCUGUGAAGAUGCAGUGUAUCCGCGGCUAGACGGAAAGACCCCGUGAACCUUUACUGUAGCUUUGCACUGGACUUUGAGCCUGCUUGUGUAGGAUAGGUGGGAGGCUUUGAAGCGUGGACGCCAGUUCGCGUGGAGCCAUCCUUGAAAUACCACCCUGGCAUGCUUGAGGUUCUAACUCUGGUCCGUAAUCCGGAUCGAGGACAGUGUAUGGUGGGCAGUUUGACUGGGGCGGUCUCCUCCUAAAGAGUAACGGAGGAGUACGAAGGUGCGCUCAGACCGGUCGGAAAUCGGUCGCAGAGUAUAAAGGCAAAAGCGCGCUUGACUGCGAGACAGACACGUCGAGCAGGUACGAAAGUAGGUCUUAGUGAUCCGGUGGUUCUGUAUGGAAGGGCCAUCGCUCAACGGAUAAAAGGUACUUCGGGGAUAACAGGCUGAUACCGCCCAAGAGUUCAUAUCGACGGCGGUGUUUGGCACCUCGAUGUCGGCUCAUCACAUCCUGGGGCUGAAGCCGGUCCCAAGGGUAUGGCUGUUCGCCAUUUAAAGUGGUACGCGAGCUGGGUUUAGAACGUCGUGAGACAGUUCGGUCCCUAUCUACCGUGGACGUUUGAGAUUUGAGAGGGGCUGCUCCUAGUACGAGAGGACCGGAGUGGACGAACCUCUGGUGUUCCGGUUGUCACGCCAGUGGCAUUGCCGGGUAGCUAUGUUCGGAAAAGAUAACCGCUGAAAGCAUCUAAGCGGGAAACUUGCCUCAAGAUGAGAUCUCACUGGGAACUUGAUUCCCCUGAAGGGCCGUCGAAGACUACGACGUUGAUAGGCUGGGUGUGUAAGCGUUGUGAGGCGUUGAGCUAACCAGUACUAAUUGCCCGUGAGGCUUGAUC